This 990-nucleotide long non-coding RNA is filed under the name Equus asinus (donkey). RNAcentral's name for it is "lncRNA (ENSEASG00005024529.1)". The record is from RNAcentral. Lineage: Eukaryota; Metazoa; Chordata; Mammalia; Perissodactyla; Equidae.
GUAAUUGGCAGCAUUUCCAUAUAUUUCCAUGCCGGAUUAUGCCAUAAAUUUACUUGGCUCCAAACAGGGAUGCUCACAGUAGGGAAUGUGGUAGAGGAAUAGGGCCCAGGUGGAGGGAGCAGGGGAGUGCCCCCAGAUCUAGGCCUAAGCAUCUUGGAACAUCCCUCCAGCCCCUUCACCCCAAAACUGGUCUCUCCCAGCCCCACAGGCUGACUGUCCCUGGGGGAGGCCUGAGGAUCUGUGGUCCGGAGCAGCCCCGAGGAGCAGAGGAAUCCCAGGAAGAAGACAACAUACACUGAAGUCCUGCACAGGGUUCAGAGAGAGGAAUUCUAGUGAAGAAACACAGCACAGAAAAAUUUGCACGAGAGCAGCAAGCCAGAGGAACAGAGCUUCCCACUCUUCCCGCUUUGUCCCUCUAAGACCCAGAACCAACUGUUGAAAAAAACCCAAGCCGUGGCCAGCUCCCCAUACCCGCAGCCACACCACAGAGUCACGUUAAGCCAGGGAGCGAGGCCGCUGCCAGCAAACCCAGGCAAUUUCCCUCCAGCUGCCUACCUCCCCCUCAGUUUACUGGCCUUGCCCACGACAGACGUAACACCUUGAUCUCUUACUCCUAAACAGCCGCCUACACAAUGCUAAUGUCACCGCGCCAGCAGAGCAGGGGAACAGGGCCCGUGACUGGGUGCUGCAGGAAGGCACCUGGGACAAAAUUCACCUCUGCAGCUGUAGAUCUCCGUCCGGGUCAAGUCGGUUGCCCGUGGAACUGACUUGGGAAGAGCAGAGAGGGGAGAGCCAAGCGCCCCGUCCCUCCUCACCUGCUCUAUCAGCCAAGUCUCAGACUGAGGCUGCCAGGACCCAGAUUCUUCCACUAACAAUUAAUCGUUAUCGGCUGGUCUAGGCAAUGAGUGCAUGAACCGGACUGGGCUGGGGCAAGAGACAGGAAUGAGCUAGAGCCCCAUGAACGUGACCCAGCCCGCAGAAUUUCCCUCU